ACCUCUUCUCUUGAUGGGAAGGAUUUAAGAUGUACUGCCUGCCAGCAUCCGGGAAUCGUAAAGUGGAAAUUAGGAAACAGAGUGUUGAUGUCUGGACUACUGUUGUGAAGUUUAAGAUAUAAUACUUUUAUAAAAAAGACUUACCUAUACAGAUCAAUUGAGAGACACAAACUUCUGGGAGGACAGUGAAUUGACAACAUGAAAACGGAAUGAGACAUUCUAGUGGACUAAAUGAUGACACUUAAACUGUAGGGAUCCAAAAAUCUACAACAAUGAGAAGUUCAUUAAUCGGUACAGCAAUGUGUUAAAAAAUUCUAAAUAAAUUAUUUGAUAGUGUUACAAAUGAAAAACUCUAGAAGCAGGUUUUCAAAGAAUUUUAAAAUCAAUAAAACAGUUGUGUUACAACAACACUGUUAUAAAAUCAGUGAUAAACACCA
This is a long non-coding RNA of Ruditapes philippinarum (Manila clam), 437 nucleotides long. RefSeq lists it as uncharacterized. Lineage: Eukaryota; Metazoa; Mollusca; Bivalvia; Venerida; Veneridae. The transcript has 3 exons. The record is from RefSeq and is a predicted model, not a curated record.